ACGGAAGGCAGCAGUGGGGGAUAUUGCACAAUGGGGGAAACCCUGAUGCAGCGACGCCGCGUGAGUGAAGAAGUAUUUCGGUAUGUAAAGCUCUAUCAGCAGGAAAGAUAAUGACGGUACCUGACUAAGAAGCACCGGCUAAAUACGUGCCAGCAGCCGCGGUAAUACGUAUGGUGCAAGCGUUAUCCGGAUUUACUGGGUGUAAAGGGAGCGCAGACGGCAUGGCAAGCCAGAUGUGAAAGGCAGAGGCUCAACUCCUGGACUGCAUUUGGAACUGUCAAGCUAGAGUAUCGGAGAGGUAAGUGGAAUUCCUAGUGUAGCGGUGAAAUGCGUAGAUAUUAGGAGGAACACCAGUGGCGAAGGCGGCUUACUGGACGAUAACUGACGUUGAGGCUCGAAAGCGUGGGGAGCAAACAGGAUUAGAUACCCUGGUA
Molecule: ribosomal RNA, 434 nt
Filed under: uncultured Lachnospiraceae bacterium
Lineage: Bacteria; Bacillati; Bacillota; Clostridia; Lachnospirales; Lachnospiraceae
Description: partial 16S ribosomal RNA
Rfam family: Bacterial small subunit ribosomal RNA
Source: RNAcentral